GAUGAACGCUAGCGGCAGGCCUAAUACAUGCAAGUCGGACGGGAUUUAGGAGCUUGCUCCUAAUGAGAGUGGCGCACGGGUGCGUAACACGUAUGUAACCUACCUCGUUCAGGGGGAUAGCCUCUCGAAAGAGAGAUUAAGACCGCAUAACGUUAUUGAAUGGCAUCGUUUAAUAACCAAAUAUUUAUAGGAACAAGAUGGGCAUGCGGAACAUUAGCUAGUUGGUAGGGUAACGGCCUACCAAGGCUACGAUGUUUAGGGGAUAUGAGAGGAUGACCCCCCACACUGGUACUGAGACACGGACCAGACUCCUACGGGAGGCAGUAGUAAGGAAUAUUGGUCAAUGGGCGGAAGCCCGAACCAGCCAUGCCGCGUGCAGGAAGACGGCCCUACGGGUUGUAAACUGCUUUUAUACGGGAAUAAACCUUGAUACGUGUAUCAAGCUGAAUGUACUGUAAGAAUAAGGAUCGGCUAACUCCGUGCCAGCAGCCGCAGUAA
This 498-nucleotide ribosomal RNA is filed under the name uncultured bacterium. RNAcentral's name for it is "partial 16S ribosomal RNA". It matches the Rfam family "Bacterial small subunit ribosomal RNA", at positions 28 to 523 of the family's 1533-position model. The record is from RNAcentral.